CACAAUUUUAGCCCCGUACCCUAAUUAUAUAUCUCCAUUAUUCUCUCUAAACCUCGUGCAUUUCUCUUUUCUCGCUAUCUCUCUAUCCUCUUCUCUCACCAUCAGAUCUAAUUCCACAGCCAUUGUGGCCGGUGUAACCAUGGCUAUAGCCCAGCAUAAGCAGAGUUUUGGGUCAUGAUCUGGUGCCGGUGCCGGAUUUGAGGAAAAUUAGGUCGGAGUUUUGUGUAGCGAUUUGGUGUCAGAUUUGGAGCAAAUUGCAAUCUGGUGCUUGACGUGAACAGAGUUUUUAUGGUGGUUUUCAUGGUGUGGUGAUGUUGGGGUGGUUUCAUUGGCGACGAAGUUGGUUGAUCGGGCACUGUUGAUGGCUAAUCUAGAGUUGGUGGGAGUGGAUUUGGCAGUGGCAGUGGCAGUGGCAAUGGCAGUGUAUCUGAUGGUGGUGGUGGUGUUAAUAGUCAUGGUAGUGGCGAUGGUGAUCUAGCAGUGCUUGUGGUUGUGCUAGUGGAUGGGGUGAUGAGAUGUGGUUAAGGAUGGGUAUGGUUCGAUUCGGUUCGAUUCAGUUCUAAUUAGAGUCAAAUCGAAACCAAAAUUUUAGGGUAUUUAGUAAGUGGAACUAUUGGGUCCAAAUUUAAUUAUGGAACAGUUCGGGUUCAGUUCCAUUCGGCUCAAUUCGGUUCGAUUCUGUUCCCAAGUUCUGUAUUAUAAUAAUUUUUUUUAAUAUUUACAAAGCUACAUUAAUUUAAUCAAUG
Molecule: long non-coding RNA, 746 nt
Filed under: Olea europaea subsp. europaea
Lineage: Eukaryota; Viridiplantae; Streptophyta; Magnoliopsida; Lamiales; Oleaceae
Source: RNAcentral